RNAcentral lists this long non-coding RNA (241 nucleotides) under Mytilus galloprovincialis (Mediterranean mussel). The record is from RNAcentral. Lineage: Eukaryota; Metazoa; Mollusca; Bivalvia; Mytilida; Mytilidae.
GCACUUUAAUUUUCUAUGUUCAAUGGAACGUAGAAUUGGGAUCAAAAGUCUAAUUUGGCUUUAAAAUAAGAAAGAUCAUAUUAUAAGGAACAUGUGUACUAAGUUUAAAGUUGAUUGGACUUCAGCUUCAUCAAAAUCUACCUUGACCAAAAACUUUAACCUGAAACUUGCACUUUCAUUUUCUAUGUUCAGUGGACCGUGAAAUUGGGGUCAAAAGUCUAAUUUGGCUUUAAAAUAAGAA